RNAcentral lists this ribosomal RNA (372 nucleotides) under uncultured bacterium. RNAcentral's name for it is "bacterial SSU rRNA". It matches the Rfam family "Bacterial small subunit ribosomal RNA", at positions 790 to 1167 of the family's 1533-position model. The record is from RNAcentral.
GUAGUCUUAGCCAUAAACGAUGUUCACUAGGUGUUGGGGCGUAAGCCUCGGUGCCGCAGCUAACGCAUUAAGUGAACCGCCUGGGGACUACGGCCGCAAGGUUGAAACUCAAAGGAAUUGGCGGGGGCCCGCACAAGCGGUGGAGCAUGUGGCUUAAUUCGAUGCAACGCGAAGAACCUUACCAGGGCUUGACAUGGAUCUGCAAGGUGGUGAAAGCCACUCGCUUUCGAAGGUGAUUCACAGGUGGUGCAUGGCUGUCGUCAGCUCGUGUUGUGAAAUGUUGGGUUAAGUCCCGCAACGAGCGCAACCCUCAUGUUUUGUUACCAGCGGGUAAUGCCGGGAACUCGAAACAAACUGCCUCUGUAAAGAGGA